Molecule: long non-coding RNA, 1580 nt
Filed under: Salmo salar (Atlantic salmon)
Lineage: Eukaryota; Metazoa; Chordata; Actinopteri; Salmoniformes; Salmonidae
Description: lncRNA (ENSSSAG00000115880.1)
Source: RNAcentral
CAGGGAGUACCAGAUAAUAACAUGGCUAUAGACAGGAAGUACCAGGUAAUAACAUGGCUAUAUACAGGAAGUACCAGGUAAUAACAUGGUUAUAGACAGGGAGUACCAGGUAAUAACAUGGUUAUAUACAGCAGUACCAGGUAAUAACAUGGCUAUAUACAGGGAUUCCCAGAACCUAGUUGAUAUGCAGGGGUACGAGGUAAUUGAGGUAGCUAUGUACAUAUAGGUAGGGGUAAACUCACUAGGCAACAGGGUAGAUAAUAGACUGAUAAUUGACAGCAGUAGUGUAUUAAUGUGUCUGUCUGUGUGUGAUAGGCCUACCAAUAACAGUAUGGAGGGUUUGAAGCAGAGAUAGGCCUACCAGGAACAGUAUGGAGGGUGAGAAGCAGAGAUAGGCCUACCAGUAACAGUAUGGAGGGUGAGAAGCAGAGAUAGGCCUACCAGUAACAGUAUGGAGGGGGAGAAGCAGAGAUAGGCCUACCAGUAACAGUAUGGAGGGUGAGAAGCAGAGAUAGGCCUACCAGUAACAGUAUGGAGGGUGAGAAGCAGAGAUAGGCCUACCAGUAACAGUAUGGAGGGGGAGAAGCAGAGAUAGGCCUACCAGUAACAGUAUGGAGGGGGAGAAGCAGAGAUAGGCCUACCAGUAACAGUAUGGAGGGUGAGAAGCAGAGAUAGGCCUACCAGUAACAGUAUGGAGGGUGAGAAGCAGUAUCUUUCUGUCAACACCUCAGCUGUCUGCUGACAUGACCGUCCCUUUAAACCCUGAUGGAUGUAAAUCAUGAGAGCAUUCUGAAAUAACAGAUUCUGCCCUUGCCAGGUAUGGACAUACCUACAGCUGGCUGCAAGGGGCUUCUGGGGCCACCAGGUGGGUGGAUACCAGGACAUCAUGUGCUCAAUUCCAUCUGUAGUUCAAUUAACAAAUCUCAAGAACGAAAUGAGCAGAAUAUAUCAACAGAUGGGCUAUUAUUGGCUGAUUCUCUCAGAAACAACUAAAUAUAUCUAACAUAGUAUUACUUUUAAAAUAACAUUUUAGAGAAAUGGAUUUGGCCUGAUUGCUUGAGAUUGUAAUUGCUGUUGUGUUUCAGAUACCAUACAUGAUAUAGACUAUGGAAAAUGGAAAUUAAAUGCAUUAUAAUGUAAAUAUUGAAAUAUGAAUUUACACAUAUCUAAUUUUUAUAGUUGUGUUUUCUAUGAAGUAUGUAAUGAGGUAUUUAUAACAGCAUGUCCAUGCAGAACUCUCCUAAGUUACUAAGCCAGUUCUGGAGGUGGGGGGGAAAUGUCCCUACAACAACCAAAAUCCCGUUUCCUUUUCUAAAUCUUCUGGCCUAUACACUCGCAUUCUUCCACUGUUUCCAUCACCUUCCUUCCCAUUCACUGGGUGGAACCCAGAGCGUUGGGGCUGCACGGGGCUUUGUACCCGCCAGACGUGGCUGUCUGUGUCCACUACCCGCCACUCCCACUCCUUUCACCGAGAGGAAAGAAGAGGGGCUAUGGGACUGGAACGAGAGUGUAUUACCCACGCAAGCAGAACAUCCCUCUCUUGUUGUGCAGUGGGCUGACGACGGGGGCAGCCCGAGAGG